CAUAAAGAUUAGACAUUUACUUAUAAUCAACAGAUUUACUCCUAACAUAUUUCUUCAGCUCAGUAUACAGAGAGCUAUAGCUGUCGUUGUCGAUUUACACUUGUGCCCAGAGCAAAAACAAUUUUCGCCUUUAUAUGUGCAAAACGGCACAACUGGAAUUUCACAAUCUUUUUGUAUAUUUGCUUUAUAAAAUAACGGUUUCUAUAAGCAAACACUAGUUCAAUUUAAAGUGAAAAAAACAUUAAACUAUCUUAUUAAAUGUGAUUUAGUGCAGAAUCUCAAAACUGUUACGAUUCCCGAAUAUGGUCCAUAUUAAAACAUCUGUAUUGACGUCUUUUUUUAUUUACACAUCGAUUUUGGGUUACGUAUAUUUACAUCGUUCGAUUGUUUGUUGUAAGAUAUUCAUUUACCUGCAUAUUAACCAUUUUGUACUAAUUUUCUCACUGCCACGUUCCACUCGAACCCAAAACUUCUUAAAUUUUAAUAAAUAUAUCAUUAUUUCAUAAUCCAUUGUAUGACUCAGUCUGUUUCUGACGCCAACUGUGUUUCCACGAUAGAAAGGUGUACUUGGUUUUAAGUUCAAACAUUUUAUUGUGUCAAAAAUGUUAUUUUCACAUUUAUAAGUGAUUAGACAAUUUAGAAAGAAAAGAAUUAAAAAUAAAAGAAAAGUUCAGUGAAUCAACCACUUGCAAUUUAGAAGCCGGUCACACCAAGAGUUGCAGUAAUGACCGUACUGAAAUCAAACCACGCCAAAUUAGGUUGGUAUCAGCUGAGCAUAACGAAAGCCCAGGCAUCACCAUAUUACAAGCAGAAAAAGUUCAUAUUUUUACUCGUUUUGGUAUCAUUAGUUAGUCUGUUCAAUUUUUUGAAUCCAGAAAAAACAUCAACGACCGUAAGCAAUGUCUUUUUAUCGCGAGUAAAAGUGGCUCCUCCCAUUAAAUUUGGGCCAAAGCCAUAUUAUAUGCAAAAUGGCAUAGUCUAUCCCAAAGAGGCGAAAUUCAACGCGAAACUCGGCCGACGUGAUGCUAAACUUCUACCAGAAGAAGAUCCAGACACGUAUGAUCGUUUCGAAAAUCAACUGAUGUUCGUUCCACCGAAUUACUAUAAAACUCGUGACCUGAAGAAAAAUAAGACACUUUUGAUGUAUGGUGGAUACGAAGGAUGGUGGGGUAUUGCGGGACCAAAUAUGGCAACGUGGUUUAGCGAUCGAAAGUGCCCAGUGGAUACAUGCAGAUUCUCAUUAAAUAAAUCUGAUGCAGAAACGGCUGAUUUUCUUAUGUUUUCCUCACAACAUGAUGCUAUCAAUGUAAAACGUACACCAAACCAAAUUUACGCUUUCUAUCGUCUUGAAAGCCCUAUUCACUAUCCGGGUAGAUACCCAAAAUCUCUCAUUUACAAUUGGACAAUAACUUAUAGACAUGACAGUACGAUACCUAUUCCAUACUCAAAAUGGGCUUACUAUGACCCGAAAAUUACGCACAUGCCACAGACUAGAAAUUUUGCCCAAAAUAGAACGAAAAAAGUUGUAUGGAUGGUGUCGAACUGUGAGGCUCACAACGACCGUGAUGUCUACGUUCGUGAACUUCAAAAGUAUAUUCAAGUCGACGUGUAUGGUAAAUGUGGAACAUUCAAUUGUACGGAUACGGAUAAGUGUCUGCGUCAAUUUGCGAAAGACUAUAAAUUUUAUUUGGGAUUUGAAAAUUCGCAUUGCGCCGAUUAUGUGACGGAAAAAGUGUAUCGUAAUUCAUUGGGUCGAGGAGGUAUUAUUCCGGUGGUAUUGGGCGCACGCAAAGAAGACUAUGAACGACAACUUCCAUACAAGUCUUUUAUUUACGUUGAAGAUUUUGCGACACCCAAAGAUUUGGCGGAAUAUUUGCACAAAGUGGACAAAGAUGACGAUCUAUACAAUUCGUAUUUCCAGUGGGUGGGAACGGGUGAGAUACAUACCUUGUACCCAUCGUUGUUCACUUUUUUUUGGUGCCGCGUUUGUGCUAUGCUACACGACGACUACACCAUGUCGCAUCCACGUUGGUAUGAAGACAUCAACAAAUGGUGGUUCGAUCCAGAUACGCUGAGAAGAGGGUUUUGGCGAAAUACUAGAAGCUAAUUUAAAGGCUAUUCGAGCAAUUGAUCAAUUGCUACUUAUCUGAUACAUAAAGAUUAGACAUUUACUUAUAAUCAACAGAUUUACUCCUAACAUAUUUCUUCAGCUCAGUAUACAGAGAGCUAUAGCUGUCGUUGUCGAUUUACACUUGUGCCCAGAGCAAAAACAAUUUUCGCCUUUAUAUGUGCAAAACGGCACAACUGGAAUUUCACAAUCUUUUUGUAUAUUUGCUUUAUAAAAUAACGGUUUCUAUAAGCAAACACUAGUUCAAUUUAAAGUGAAAAAAACAUUAAACUAUCUUAUUAAAUGUGAUUUAGUGCAGAAUCUCAAAACUGUUACGAUUCCCGAAUAUGGUCCAUAUUAAAACAUCUGUAUUGACGUCUUUUUUUAUUUACACAUCGAUUUUGGGUUACGUAUAUUUACAUCGUUCGAUUGUUUGUUUCUGUUUCUGACGCCAACUGUGUUUCCACGAUAGAAAGGUGUACUUGGUUUUAAGUUCAAACAUUUUAUUGUGUCAAAAAUGUUAUUUUCACAUUUAUAAGUGAUUAGACAAUUUAGAAAGAAAAGAAUUAAAAAUAAAAGAAAAGUUCAGUGAAUCAACCACUUGCAAUUUAGAAGCCGGUCACACCAAGAGUUGCAGUAAUGACCGUACUGAAAUCAAACCACGCCAAAUUAGGUUGGUAUCAGCUGAGCAUAACGAAAGCCCAGGCAUCACCAUAUUACAAGCAGAAAAAGUUCAUAUUUUUACUCGUUUUGGUAUCAUUAGUUAGUCUGUUCAAUUUUUUGAAUCCAGAAAAAACAUCAACGACCGUAAGCAAUGUCUUUUUAUCGCGAGUAAAAGUGGCUCCUCCCAUUAAAUUUGGGCCAAAGCCAUAUUAUAUGCAAAAUGGCAUAGUCUAUCCCAAAGAGGCGAAAUUCAACGCGAAACUCGGCCGACGUGAUGCUAAACUUCUACCAGAAGAAGAUCCAGACACGUAUGAUCGUUUCGAAAAUCAACUGAUGUUCGUUCCACCGAAUUACUAUAAAACUCGUGACCUGAAGAAAAA
Molecule: RNA transcript, 3150 nt
Organism: Sitodiplosis mosellana (orange wheat blossom midge)
Lineage: Eukaryota; Metazoa; Arthropoda; Insecta; Diptera; Cecidomyiidae
Gene name: glycoprotein 3-alpha-L-fucosyltransferase A-like
Exons: 8
Source: RefSeq, a predicted model, not a curated record